GAUGAACGCUGGCGGCGUGCCUAAUACAUGCAAGUCGAGCGAACGGACGCGAAGCUUGCUUCUCUGAUGUUAGCGGCGGACGGGUGAGUAACACGUGGAUAACCUACCUAUAAGACUGGGAUAACUUCGGGAAACCGGAGCUAAUACCGGAUAAUAUUAUGAACCGCAUGGUUCAAAAGUGAAAGACGGUCUUGCUGUCACUUAUAGAUGGAUCCGCGCUGCAUUAGCUAGUUGGUAAGGUAACGGCUUACCAAGGCAACGAUGCAUAGCCGACCUGAGAGGGUGAUCGGCCACACUGGAACUGAGACACGGUCCAGACUCCUACGGGAGGCAGCAGUAGGGAAUCUUCCGCAAUGGGCGAAAGCCUGACGGAGCAACGCCGCGUGAGUGAUGAAGGUCUUCGGAUCGUAAAACUCUGUUAUUAGGGAAGAACAUAUGUGUAAGUAACUGUGCACAUCUUGACGGUACCUAAUCAGAAAGCCACGGCUAACUACGUG
RNAcentral lists this ribosomal RNA (497 nucleotides) under uncultured bacterium. RNAcentral's name for it is "partial 16S ribosomal RNA". It matches the Rfam family "Bacterial small subunit ribosomal RNA", at positions 28 to 507 of the family's 1533-position model. The record is from RNAcentral.